GGACUACUGGGGUAUCUAAUCCCGUUCGCUCCCCAUGCUGUCGUGUCUGAGCGUCAGGGGCGAGCCAGGAGGCCGCCUUCGCCUCUGGGGUUCCUCCGGAUCUCUACGCAUUUCACCACUACACCCGGAAUUCCGCCUCCCUCUCUCGCCCUCUAGGUUCCCAGUCUGGCAUAACCCCGCCCGGUUGAGCCGGGCGAUUUCAUACACCACUUGAGUACCCGCCUGCACACCCUUUACGCCCAGUAAAUCCGGAUAACGCUUGCCACCUACGUUUUACCGCGGCUGCUGGCAC
RNAcentral lists this ribosomal RNA (292 nucleotides) under uncultured bacterium. RNAcentral's name for it is "partial 16S ribosomal RNA". The record is from RNAcentral.